RNAcentral lists this ribosomal RNA (301 nucleotides) under uncultured bacterium. RNAcentral's name for it is "partial 16S ribosomal RNA". It matches the Rfam family "Bacterial small subunit ribosomal RNA", at positions 509 to 807 of the family's 1533-position model. The record is from RNAcentral.
CAGUAGCCACGGGAAUACGUAGGUGGCAAGCGUUGUCCGGAAUUAUUGGGCGCAAAGGGCACGCAGGCGGUUUCUUAAGUCUGAUGUGAAAGCCCCCGGCUCAACCAGGGAGGGUCAUUGGAAACUGGGAAACUUGAGUGCAGAAGAGGAGAGUGGAAUUCCACGUGUAGCGGUGAAAUGCGUAGAGAUGUGGAGGAACACCAGUGGCGAAGGCGACUCUCUGGUCUGUAACUGACGCUGAGGAGCGAAAGCGUGGGGAGCGAACAGGAUUAGAUACCCGUGUAGUCCCUGUCUCUUAUAC